UGGAGAGUCCCAGAGCAAGGUGCUGCUGAGUUUGGUGUCUGAAGUUCAGUGCUCUCUGCUUCCAAGAUGGCUCCUUCGCCCUGCAUCCUCACGUCAGGAGGGACAGAGCAGGUGUGGCAGAGCCUCUGACCAGGCACUCUGAUUGACCUCCGGCUAACACCACCAGGACACCAUUUCCCAGGUCCCAGAGAGCCGGUGGUGCAAAGUCCCCUGGCUCUACCUAGAAAACUGGAGUCAGUGCUGGUAUGAGCACAUGAUGAAGCCCACGUGAGAGAACCAGGACGAAACGACUCUAUCACAACUUCAGAGGGACUGAAACGAGAGGAUCGUUUCUUCCUAAAUCCGGAAACUGGAAAGCCAGCCAGAAAGGUGGGUGGCAGUGGCACUGUGGGCCACCCCUCCCUGGAUGCAGGGGCCACCAGGUGCAUUGGUGAUGUGACGUCCAACAGGUGUGUGCUCAGAGCUGAGAAAGCGCCAGUGUUCAUGGGGUUCCAUAACGCACCAUCUUUUUGCUUCCUGAGCUCUCUACCAUAAUCCAAACUACAUAAAUGAGCAAUUCCUUUGCAUA
Heterocephalus glaber (naked mole-rat) is the source of this 568-nucleotide non-coding RNA. Lineage: Eukaryota; Metazoa; Chordata; Mammalia; Rodentia; Bathyergidae. The record is from RefSeq and is a predicted model, not a curated record.